Molecule: non-coding RNA, 65 nt
Organism: Pelobates cultripes (western spadefoot toad)
Lineage: Eukaryota; Metazoa; Chordata; Amphibia; Anura; Pelobatidae
Source: the annotation of a GenBank genome assembly
UGUCUGUUAGUGAGUGUGUGUGUGUGUCUGUUAAACAGACACACACACACUCACUAACAGACACA